This 961-nucleotide ribosomal RNA is filed under the name Actinomycetes bacterium. RNAcentral describes it as "bacterial SSU rRNA". It matches the Rfam family "Bacterial small subunit ribosomal RNA", at positions 76 to 1048 of the family's 1533-position model. Lineage: Bacteria; Bacillati; Actinomycetota; Actinomycetes. The record is from RNAcentral.
CAGCUUGCUGGGCGGAUUAGUGGCGAACGGGUGAGUAAUACGUGAGUAACCUGCCCUUGACUCUGGGAUAAGCCUGGGAAACUGGGUCUAAUACUGGAUACUACCGUCCACCGCAUGGUGGGUGGUGGAAAGGGUUUUACUGGUUUUGGAUGGGCUCACGGCCUAUCAGCUUGUUGGUGGGGUAAUGGCUCACCAAGGCGACGACGGGUAGCCGGCCUGAGAGGGUGACCGGCCACACUGGGACUGAGACACGGCCCAGACUCCUACGGGAGGCAGCAGUGGGGAAUAUUGCACAAUGGGCGGAAGCCUGAUGCAGCGACGCCGCGUGAGGGAUGACGGCCUUCGGGUUGUAAACCUCUUUCAGUAGGGAAGAAGCGAGAGUGACGGUACCUGCAGAAGAAGCGCCGGCUAACUACGUGCCAGCAGCCGCGGUAAUACGUAGGGCGCAAGCGUUGUCCGGAAUUAUUGGGCGUAAAGAGCUCGUAGGCGGUUUGUCGCGUCUGCUGUGAAAGCCCGGGGCUCAACCCCGGGUCUGCAGUGGGUACGGGCAGACUAGAGUGCAGUAGGGGAGACUGGAAUUCCUGGUGUAGCGGUGAAAUGCGCAGAUAUCAGGAGGAACACCGAUGGCGAAGGCAGGUCUCUGGGCUGUUACUGACGCUGAGGAGCGAAAGCAUGGGGAGCGAACAGGAUUAGAUACCCUGGUAGUCCAUGCCGUAAACGUUGGGCACUAGGUGUGGGGGACAUUCCACGUUUUCCGCGCCGUAGCUAACGCAUUAAGUGCCCCGCCUGGGGAGUACGGCCGCAAGGCUAAAACUCAAAGGAAUUGACGGGGGCCCGCACAAGCGGCGGAGCAUGCGGAUUAAUUCGAUGCAACGCGAAGAACCUUACCAAGGCUUGACAUUCACCGGACCGCCCCAGAGAUGGGGUUUCCCUUCGGGGCUGGUGGACAGGUGGUGCAUGG